RNAcentral lists this ribosomal RNA (567 nucleotides) under uncultured bacterium. RNAcentral describes it as "bacterial SSU rRNA". It matches the Rfam family "Bacterial small subunit ribosomal RNA", at positions 1 to 607 of the family's 1533-position model. The record is from RNAcentral.
AGGAGUUUGAUCCUGGCUCAGAAUCAACGCUGGCGGCGCGCUUAACACAUGCAAGUCGCACGAGAAAGCAGGAGCAAUCUUGUGAGUAAAGUGGCGUACGGGUGAGUAACACGUGGAUCAUCUACCUUCUAGUGGGGCAUACCUCUGGGAAACCGGAGAUAAUUCCGCAUAAGCUCGUAAGAGGAAAGCCGAAAGGCGCUGGAAGAGGAGUCCGCGGCUGAUUAGCUAGAUGGCGGGUAACGGCCCACCAUGGCGAAGAUCGGUAGCCGGCCUGAGAGGGCACACGGCCACACUGGCACUGAAACACGGGCCAGACUCCUACGGGAGGCAGCAGUGGGGAAUCUUGCACAAUGGAGGCAACUCUGAUGCAGCGACGCCGCGUGAGCGAUGAAGCCCUUCGGGGUGUAAAGCUCUUUCGACGGGAAAGAUGAUGACGGUACCCGGAGAAGAAGCUGCGGCUAACUACGUGCCAGCAGCCGCGGUAAUACGUAGGCAGCGAGCGUUGUUCGGAAUUACUGGGCGUAAAGAGUGUGUAGCGGUGCUCCAAGUCUGGGUGAAAUCUCCCGG